Molecule: ribosomal RNA, 1006 nt
Filed under: Klebsiella pneumoniae
Lineage: Bacteria; Pseudomonadati; Pseudomonadota; Gammaproteobacteria; Enterobacterales; Enterobacteriaceae
Description: bacterial SSU rRNA
Rfam family: Bacterial small subunit ribosomal RNA
Source: RNAcentral
AAAUUGAAGAGUUUGAUCAUGGCUCAGAUUGAACGCUGGCGGCAGGCCUAACACAUGCAAGUCGAGCGGUAGCACAGAGAGCUUGCUCUCGGGUGACGAGCGGCGGACGGGUGAGUAAUGUCUGGGAAACUGCCUGAUGGAGGGGGAUAACUACUGGAAACGGUAGCUAAUACCGCAUAACGUCGCAAGACCAAAGUGGGGGACCUUCGGGCCUCAUGCCAUCAGAUGUGCCCAGAUGGGAUUAGCUAGUAGGUGGGGUAACGGCUCACCUAGGCGACGAUCCCUAGCUGGUCUGAGAGGAUGACCAGCCACACUGGAACUGAGACACGGUCCAGACUCCUACGGGAGGCAGCAGUGGGGAAUAUUGCACAAUGGGCGCAAGCCUGAUGCAGCCAUGCCGCGUGUGUGAAGAAGGCCUUCGGGUUGUAAAGCACUUUCAGCGGGGAGGAAGGCGGUGAGGUUAAUAACCUCAUCGAUUGACGUUACCCGCAGAAGAAGCACCGGCUAACUCCGUGCCAGCAGCCGCGGUAAUACGGAGGGUGCAAGCGUUAAUCGGAAUUACUGGGCGUAAAGCGCACGCAGGCGGUCUGUCAAGUCGGAUGUGAAAUCCCCGGGCUUAACCUGGGAACUGCAUUCGAAACUGGCAGGCUAGAGUCUUGUAGAGGGGGGUAGAAUUCCAGGUGUAGCGGUGAAAUGCGUAGAGAUCUGGAGGAAUACCGGUGGCGAAGGCGGCCCCCUGGACAAAGACUGACGCUCAGGUGCGAAAGCGUGGGGAGCAAACAGGAUUAGAUACCCUGGUAGUCCACGCCGUAAACGAUGUCGAUUUGGAGGUUGUGCCCUUGAGGCGUGGCUUCCGGAGCUAACGCGUUAAAUCGACCGCCUGGGGAGUACGGCCGCAAGGUUAAAACUCAAAUGAAUUGACGGGGGCCCGCACAAGCGGUGGAGCAUGUGGUUUAAUUCGAUGCAACGCGAAGAACCUUACCUGGUCUUGACAUCCACAGAACUU